This 520-nucleotide ribosomal RNA is filed under the name uncultured bacterium. RNAcentral describes it as "bacterial SSU rRNA". It matches the Rfam family "Bacterial small subunit ribosomal RNA", at positions 8 to 518 of the family's 1533-position model. The record is from RNAcentral.
AGGGUUCGAUUCUGGCUCAGGAUGAACGCUAGCUACAGGCUUAACACAUGCAAGUCGAGGGGCAGCAUGAGAUUAGCUUGCUAAUCUUGAUGGCGACCGGCGCACGGGUGAGUAACGCGUAUCCAACCUUCCCCCUACUCAGGCAUAGCCCGGUGAAAACCGGAUUAACUCCUGAUAGUUUCACUAGAUGGCAUCUGACGGUGAAUAAAGCUUUGCGGUAAGGGAUGGGGAUGCGUCUGAUUAGCUUGUUGGCGGGGUAACGGCCACCAAGGCGACGAUCAGUAGGGGUUCUGAGAGGAAGGUCCCCCACAUUGGAACUGAGACACGGUCCAAACUCCUACGGGAGGCAGCAGUGAGGAAUAUUGGUCAAUGGGCGCGAGCCUGAACCAGCCAAGUAGCCGUGCAGGAAGACGGCCCUAUGGGUUGUAAACUGCUUUUGUGCGGGAAUAAAGUCAGGGACGUGUCCCUGUUUGCAUGUACCGCAAGAAUAAGGACCGGCUAAUUCCGUGCCAGCCGCCGC